UACGGGGGGGGCAAGCGUUGUUCGGAAUUACUGGGCGUAAAGGGCUCGUAGGCGGCCAACUAAGUCAGACGUGAAAUCCCUCGGCUUAACCGGGGAACUGCAUCUGAUACUGGAUGGCUUGAGUUCGGGAGAGGGAUGCGGAAUUCCAGGUGUAGCGGUGAAAUGCGUAGAUAUCUGGAGGAACACCGGUGGCGAAGGCGGCAUCCUGGACCGACACUGACGCUGAGGCGCGAAAGCCAGGGGGGCAAACGGG
RNAcentral lists this ribosomal RNA (253 nucleotides) under uncultured bacterium. RNAcentral describes it as "partial 16S ribosomal RNA". It matches the Rfam family "Bacterial small subunit ribosomal RNA", at positions 524 to 776 of the family's 1533-position model. The record is from RNAcentral.